Molecule: long non-coding RNA, 422 nt
Filed under: Mytilus galloprovincialis (Mediterranean mussel)
Lineage: Eukaryota; Metazoa; Mollusca; Bivalvia; Mytilida; Mytilidae
Source: RNAcentral
GGGUCAAAACUCUAAUUUGGCAUUUAAAUUAGAAAGAUCAUAUCAUAGGGCACAUGUAUACUAAGUUUCAAGUUGAUUGGACUUCAACUUCAUCAAAAACUACCUUGACCAAAAACUUUAACCUGAAGCCAAAAACUUUAACCUGAAAUUUGCACUAUCAUUUUCUAUAUUCAGUGAACCGUAAAAUUGGGGUCAAAACUCUAAUUUGGCAUUUAAAUUAGAAAGAUCAUAUCAUAGGGCACAUGUAUACUAAGUUUCAAGUUGAUUGGACUUCAACUUCAUCAUAAACUACCUCGACCAAAAACUUUAACCUGACAUGGGACAGACGGACGAACGGACGAACGAACAGACGAACGAACAGACGGACGAACGGACGCACAGACCAGAAAACAUAAUGCCCCUACUACUAUCGUAGACGGGGC